This 253-nucleotide ribosomal RNA is filed under the name uncultured Desulfovibrio sp. RNAcentral's name for it is "partial 16S ribosomal RNA". It matches the Rfam family "Bacterial small subunit ribosomal RNA", at positions 524 to 776 of the family's 1533-position model. Lineage: Bacteria; Pseudomonadati; Thermodesulfobacteriota; Desulfovibrionia; Desulfovibrionales; Desulfovibrionaceae. The record is from RNAcentral.
UACGGUAGGUCCGGGCGUUAUCCGGAUUUAUUGGGUUUAAAGGGAGCGUAGGCCGGCUUUUAAGUCAGCUGUGAAAGUCCGCGGCUCAACCGUGGAACAGCCCUUGAUACUGCGCGACUUGAAUCCGGGAGAGGGUGGCGGAAUUCCAGGUGUAGGAGUGAAAUCCGUAGAUAUCUGGAGGAACAUCAGUGGCGAAGGCGGCCACCUGGACCGGUAUUGACGCUGAGGCGCGAAAGCGUGGGGAGCAAACAGG